This 303-nucleotide unclassified non-coding RNA is filed under the name fungal sp. RNAcentral describes it as "partial internal transcribed spacer region". The stretch from base 1 to 46 matches the Rfam family "Eukaryotic small subunit ribosomal RNA", at positions 1786 to 1831 of the family's 1831-position model. Lineage: Eukaryota; Fungi. The record is from RNAcentral.
AAGUCGUAACAAGGUAACCGUAGGUGAACCUGCGGUUGGAUCAUUAGUAAAUUUCGAGCGAAGGUUAGGGUCUUAACUGUAUUUUUGAGCCGUAGCCUUUGUUUUUAACCUUAUGUGAACUGUUUAUUGUCUCUGGGUAGGGCUUAUAGGAUAAUUGCUUCUGGAGGUUUUCUUUUAAUUAAGAAAAUCUUUACCUACUAUUAUAUUUUCUAAACUUGAAUUUUUAUUACUUAGUCUUGAAUUAAAUUUUGAUAUUUUUAUAUUAAUUUUAAACAACUUUUGACAACGGAUCUCUAGGCUCUC